Molecule: ribosomal RNA, 492 nt
Filed under: uncultured bacterium
Lineage: Bacteria
Description: partial 16S ribosomal RNA
Rfam family: Bacterial small subunit ribosomal RNA
Source: RNAcentral
AGUGAACGCUGGCGGUAGGCCUAACACUUGCAAGUCGAACGGCAGCACAGUAAGAGCUUGCUCUUACGGGUGGCGAGUGGCGGACGGGUGAGGAAUACAUCGGAAUCUACUUUUUCGUGGGGGAUAACGUAGGGAAACUUACGCUAAUACCGCAUACGACCUACGGGUGAAAGCAGGGGAUCUUCGGAUCUUGCGCGAUUGAAUGAGCCGAUGUCGGAUUAGCUAGUUGGCGGGGUAAAGGCCCACCAAGGCGACGAUCCGUAGCUGGUCUGAGAGGAUGAUCAGCCACACUGGAACUGAGACACGGUCCAGACUCCUACGGGAGGCAGCAGUGGGGAAUAUUGGACAAUGGGCGCAAGCCUGAUCCAGCCAUACCGCGUGGGUGAAGAAGGCCUUCGGGUUGUAAAGCCCUUUUGUUGGGAAAGAAAAGCAGCAGGUUAAUACCCCGCUGUUCUGACGGUACCCAAAGAAUAAGCACCGGCUAACUUCGUG